Molecule: ribosomal RNA, 497 nt
Filed under: uncultured bacterium
Lineage: Bacteria
Description: partial 16S ribosomal RNA
Rfam family: Bacterial small subunit ribosomal RNA
Source: RNAcentral
GACGAACGCUGGCGGCGUGCCUAAUACAUGCAAGUUGAGCGCUGAAGGUUGGUACUUGUACCAACUGGAUGAGCAGCGAACGGGUGAGUAACGCGUGGGGAAUCUGCCUUUGAGCGGGGGACAACAUUUGGAAACAAAUGCUAAUACCGCAUAAAAACUAUAAACACAAGUUUUAAGUUUGAAAGAUGCAAUUGCAUCACUCAAAGAUGAUCCCGCGUUGUAUUAGCUAGUUGGUGAGGUAAAGGCUCACCAAGGCGAUGAUACAUAGCCGACCUGAGAGGGUGAUCGGCCACAUUGGGACUGAGACACGGCCCAAACUCCUACGGGAGGCAGCAGUAGGGAAUCUUCGGCAAUGGACGAAAGUCUGACCGAGCAACGCCGCGUGAGUGAAGAAGGGUUUCGGAUCGUAAAACUCUGUUGGUAGAGAAGAACGUUGGUGAGAGUGGAAAGCUCAUCAAGUGACGGUAACUACCCAGAAAGGGACGGCUAACUACGUG